This 866-nucleotide non-coding RNA is filed under the name Rimicaris variabilis. RNAcentral describes it as "12S ribosomal RNA". The stretch from base 452 to 855 matches the Rfam family "Microsporidia small subunit ribosomal RNA", at positions 752 to 1303 of the family's 1311-position model. Lineage: Eukaryota; Metazoa; Arthropoda; Malacostraca; Decapoda; Alvinocarididae. The record is from RNAcentral.
UUCCAAUAGGUUGUAGCUUUAAUAUUUAUUUUAUGUGUGUAAGAGAUUUGGGGUUUUAUUUUUACAAUAAUGUGAGUUUGAUCCUUGCUUAUUUUUUGUUUUUUGUUUAAAGCACAUGUAAAGAAAUUUGAAGGAGUUAUAAAAUUAAAAUAAAACUUUGUGAUUCUCAGUGUUAGAUAUUAAGAAAUAAAAUAAAUUUUUAAUUAGUAAAACAAUUAAAUUCAGGCUAAAUUUGUGCCAGCAGCUGCGGUUAGACUGAUAGUGUGAACAAAAAAUUAUAAGUUAAAUAAUUAAAGGAGUUUGAUGGGGAAAUUUACUAUAAAAGUUAAAGGUGAAAUUUGGUGUUUGAGUGUAGUAAGUUUGUUUAUCAAGAGUUCUUGAGGUUAUAAAAUUUUAGAUCUAAAUCAGGAUUAGAUACCCUGUUAUACUAUCUUUCAAUUUAAGGAUACUUGAGUAGUAAACAGUUAUGUUCUCGAAACUUAAAGGAUUUGGCGGUAUUUUAGUCUAGUUAGAGGAACCUGUUCUAUAAACGAUAAACCACGAAGAAUCUUACUCUUUUUUGUAAAUCAGUUUGUAUACCGUCAUUAUUAGAUAAUCUUUAUAAAGAAUUAUUAAAAUAAGUAUUUUAGUAUAUUAGAUCAAGGUGCAGCCAAUAAGGGAGCAAGAAAUGGGUUACAAUGUUAUUGAUAUAAACUGGGAAGAAGCUGAAAAUUUUUUUGAAGGUGGAUUUAAUAGUAAUAGUCUUUUAAUAAGGGAUUAUGAUAAUAGCUCUAAGAUAUGUACACAUCGCCCGUCGCUCUCACUCUUAAUGUGAGAUAAGUCGUAACAUAGUAGAUGUGUUGGAAAAUGCAUCUAGAAUUAGGCUU